AUUUUCUCCACCGAAACGGCUCCCACGGGAGGAAGAAAAAGUCUGGGGAGCGCGAACGGGAAUUGGAUACCCCGGAUAGUACCAACCGUAAACUUUCCGGCCUAAGGGUGGCCCUGAACUAUCGAGUUACCCGGGGUGCCGAAGUGGAAAACGUGAAAACUUGCCCCUUGGAAGUUACGGUUCCCAAGGCUGAAACUUAAAAGGAAUUGGCGGGGGAAGCACCACCAACGGGUGGAGCCUGCGGUUUUAAUUGGAAUCAACGCCGGGCCAGCUCCCCGGAUAGGACAGCGGAAUUGAUAGCCGGGCUGAAGACCUUGCUUGCCCAGCUGAGACUGAGGUGCAUGGCCGUGUCAGAUCGUACUCCGAAGCAUCCCUGUUUAGUCAGGCAAGGAGCGAGACCCACGCCAACAGGGGGGGCGGAGGUCCCCCCCGAAUGAUGAAAAAAAAAGGUGGGACCGCCUCUGCUAAAGAGGAAGGGGCGUUGGGGGGAAAGGUAGGUCAGCAUGCCCCGAAUUAUCCGGGCUACACGCGGGCUACAAUGGUCAGGACAAUAAGGGGCAGCACUGAAAAGUGUAGUCAAUCUCCUAAACCUGUCCCAAGUUCGGAUUGUGGGCUGCAACUCGCCCACAUGAAGCUGGAAUCCGUAGUAAUUUCGUUCCCAAAUAGCACCCCUUAGUCCCUGCUCCUUGCACACACCGUA
This 700-nucleotide ribosomal RNA is filed under the name uncultured archaeon. RNAcentral's name for it is "partial 16S ribosomal RNA". It matches the Rfam family "Archaeal small subunit ribosomal RNA", at positions 670 to 1350 of the family's 1478-position model. The record is from RNAcentral.